This 258-nucleotide ribosomal RNA is filed under the name uncultured archaeon. Its description in RNAcentral is "partial 16S ribosomal RNA". It matches the Rfam family "Archaeal small subunit ribosomal RNA", at positions 748 to 1005 of the family's 1478-position model. The record is from RNAcentral.
AGGGUGUAAACGCUGCAGACUUGGUGUUGGAGGCCCUUUGGGGGGCAUUCAGUGCCGGAGAGAAGUUGUUAAGUCUGCUACUUGGGGAGUACGUCCGCAAGGAUGAACUUAAAGGAAUUGCGGGGGAGCACCGCAACGGGAGGAGCGUGCGGUUUAAUUGGAUUCAACACCGUAAAACUCACCAGGGAAGACUGUUACAUGAAGGCCGAGAUGAAGACUCUGCUAGAUUUUUCAGAGAGGAGGUGCAUGGCGUCAGUG